Molecule: long non-coding RNA, 677 nt
Organism: Mus musculus (house mouse)
Lineage: Eukaryota; Metazoa; Chordata; Mammalia; Rodentia; Muridae
Product: predicted gene, 30804
Exons: 4
Source: RefSeq, a predicted model, not a curated record
GGAUCUGCAUUUCAUUGAGACGGUGUUGGAGUCCACACAGUGGAGAUUAAAUAGCCCGUUGCCUGAAUGCAAAAAGGCGAAAAUAAAUCAGCCUUUACUGCAAGCAGGGUGGCAGGGAGUUAAUUAGGAAAAGGAAAAAAAAAACAUUUCAACUUACAAAGAGGCGGGGGAAGGUGGCAGACUGCAGAGAGUCCUCACAGACAGGAGGAGACCUUUGCUGUGCCCCAUGGGAGGUGACAGUGGCCUGGACUGGAGAAUGACUGCUAUGAUGAAGAGGAGCUGCCCAGGGCGGAUUUCACAAAGCACCUCCCUUGAGGGACACAGCUCAUUAAGCUCAGCUCCAAACGCAGCAGAACCAAGUUCUGAAAACUUCAAUGCCAGACAGGGCCUCUCACACGAUCAGAAGCUUAACAGGCCCGAAUGGCAGGACAGUGAACUCUAGGCAUCCUCCUGGCUCUGUCUCCCCUAGCUGCGGUUGUCAGUUCACACUGGAGUGAUGCUGGGGUAAGCACGUUACCCCGACCAUCUCUUCAGCCCCUCCUUUGUCUUUUCAUCCUGCUAAGCCUGUGUCAGAGACAGAUGUGUCUCCCUGGAAGGGUGGGUGUGUACCAGACAUGCCCCUGCUGGGCUGUGGGGUGGGGCCUCGAGGUCGUCACACACCUUCAUGCUUCUCGGUC